RNAcentral lists this ribosomal RNA (999 nucleotides) under Vibrio splendidus. RNAcentral's name for it is "partial 23S ribosomal RNA". It matches the Rfam family "Bacterial large subunit ribosomal RNA", at positions 209 to 1258 of the family's 2925-position model. The record is from RNAcentral. Lineage: Bacteria; Pseudomonadati; Pseudomonadota; Gammaproteobacteria; Vibrionales; Vibrionaceae.
CCCCGAGGAAGAGAAAUCAACCGAGAUUCCGAAAGUAGCGGCGAGCGAAAUUGGAUUAGCCCUUAAGCUUUUAAUGAUGCAGGUGAAGAGUCUGGAAAGUCUCGCAACAAAGGGUGAUAGCCCCGUAACCGACACAUCAUAAUCAGUGAAAACGAGUAGGGCGGGACACGUGAUAUCCUGUCUGAAUAUGGGGGGACCAUCCUCCAAGGCUAAAUACUACUGACUGACCGAUAGUGAACCAGUACCGUGAGGGAAAGGCGAAAAGAACCCCUGUGAGGGGAGUGAAAUAGAACCUGAAACCGUGUACGUACAAGCAGUAGGAGCACCUUCGUGGUGUGACUGCGUACCUUUUGUAUAAUGGGUCAGCGACUUAAUUUUAGUAGCAAGGUUAACCGUUUAGGGGAGCCGUAGGGAAACCGAGUCUUAACUGGGCGUACAGUUGCUAGGAUUAGACCCGAAACCAGGUGAUCUAGCCAUGGGCAGGUUGAAGGUUGAGUAACAUCAACUGGAGGACCGAACCGACUAAUGUUGAAAAAUUAGCGGAUGACUUGUGGCUAGGGGUGAAAGGCCAAUCAAACCUGGAGAUAGCUGGUUCUCCCCGAAAGCUAUUUAGGUAGCGCCUCGGACGAAUACUACUGGGGGUAGAGCACUGUUAAGGCUAGGGGGUCAUCCCGACUUACCAACCCUUUGCAAACUCCGAAUACCAGUAAGUACUAUCCGGGAGACACACGGCGGGUGCUAACGUCCGUCGUGGAGAGGGAAACAACCCAGACCGCCAGCUAAGGUCCCAAAGUAUAGCUAAGUGGGAAACGAUGUGGGAAGGCUCAGACAGCCAGGAUGUUGGCUUAGAAGCAGCCAUCAUUUAAAGAAAGCGUAAUAGCUCACUGGUCGAGUCGGCCUGCGCGGAAGAUGUAACGGGGCUAAGCUAUACACCGAAGCUGCGGCUACGUACCUUAGGGUAUGUGGGGUAGGGGAGCGUUCUGUAAGCCGUUGAAGGUG